Oncorhynchus tshawytscha (Chinook salmon) is the source of this 2008-nucleotide long non-coding RNA. RefSeq lists it as uncharacterized. Lineage: Eukaryota; Metazoa; Chordata; Actinopteri; Salmoniformes; Salmonidae. The transcript has 4 exons. The record is from RefSeq and is a predicted model, not a curated record.
AUCCCUAAACUUAAAUUUAAAAAAAAUAACAUUUUUGUUUUCAUGAAUUAUUACAAUAUAGAAAUGGUUGUUUUUGUGGCUGUGGUAGAUACCUUUGAAAAUAACGUGCGGGACUUCUUGGACGCAGUAUCCAGUUCUCCAUAGUGGCUUCACAGCGGUAUGAACUAGCCACAUACCUGUUAGCUAGCAUGGCUCAUUUUAACCUAAUGAAUUAAAGUAUCUUUACAAACUAUCAACAAUAACAAUAUGUCUAGGCUGACGCUCAUCAGUACAUGCUUAUAUCUGUGUCUGGCGCCCACUGUUCUCCGGAACAGGUAAAAACCCAUGCCUAUGAAUAACAAUUUGACGGGAUGGGAUGAACUAGGCUAGCAAUGGUUCUUACAGGAUGGCUAUAGAAGAAAAUACAACUAUAGCAGCUGAAGUCAGCAGAUCCAACAGUCCUAAAGAUGAGUCAAAGCCUGAUGAAGCCAACCUGUUGAUGGAGUAGAAAGACCACCAGUAAAGAAUCCAGUGUUUUAGGAUGCUGGUGGUCUUCCUGGUGGAGUAACUGAGGAGCAGAAACAUGGGGUUUGAAGGCUCUCACUACAUGAUUCCAUAUCUGUUACAUUGAGACAAAUGACCAAGAAGAGAGAAACAUGUUUGAACUGUUGGAGAUGUUUUAAAUGAAAUGUACAUUUAAAAUGAGGGAAAACAAGCAAACGUUGCACAUAUUAACUUGCAUUCAAUCAGAUGAAGUACAAAGCUACAAAAGUAUUGGGACAGAGUCAUUUAUGCACCCCCCCCACCCCCAAGCAAGGUAUACUGUAGGGAGAGGAUAUUGGUUGAGAGGAACCAGGCCUGAGGGGUAGAGCUCAUUCUCAUCUGCCUUGUAAAGAGAGAGAGCUCUGCAGUACUGAGAUGUUUUAUUACUAAGAGAGAGCUCUGCAGUACUGAGAUGUUUUAUUACUAAGAGAGAGCUCUGCAGUACUGAGAUGUUUUAUUACUAAGAGAGAGCUCUGCAGUACUGAGAUGUUUUAUUACUAAGAGAGAGCUCUGCAGUACUGAGAUAUUUUAUUACUAAGAGAGAGCUCUGCAGUACUGAGAUAUUUUAUUACUAAGAGAGAGCUCUGCAGUACUGAGAUAUGUUAUUACUAACAACAGUGGUGCAUGUGUAUUUGUUUUAAUACCUUAAUAUUAAAAUUGUCUUUGUCAAAUUCCUUCAAAUUACCAUCUGGUAUAUAUCUAAGCAUAUCUGUUUUCACAAUAGAAUUUUGUCACCUGAAUUUGACUUUUUUCUCAAAUAUAUCUGAACAUUAAUCUGUGAUGUAAUAUUUAUAUAUUUUCUAUAAAGGAGUUGAGUUCUAUAUCGGAUUCUAUUAUUAUGACCUCCAUUCAAAAGGCACAUCUGAGCUAUCUUUGUAGCAGGUGCAUGGUAACAACUGAAUAACAUGAGAGAGAAAAGAAGAAACCCGCACACUGCUCUUGGUAGUAUCGCUGCAUUUUAUUAAGCUUAACGUAUCGUCCUCGAGGUCUUCAUCAGAGCUUUAAUGAGUGUUUUUCAUUUGCUCCCUUAUGUAGACAUUGCUCCACCCACAUCCUUUCAAUGCAGCAAAUGAGGUUGGAGUCAAGGGGAAAUAAACGUGAUACCAAAUAUAACAAUGUUCAUUUCAUAAGUAUUCUAAUAAAGUGUGUACAUAAAAUGUAUUAAACACUUAUGUAAAACCACAAUGAGGAAAUCAAUCUAUCAAGUAAGUUUUCCUUGUGUACAGUACAUACAGUGCAAGAAAAAAAUGCCAGAGUAGGUUGAAGUGGUGGCAUUAGUUCAUGUUCAUAUUCAAGUACCAUGCAUUGGAAUUUCAUCAUAAAGACCUUUUAGGAAUAAUGUCUGGAGGGUGAAAAUCCAAAAACAUAUUUUGCUCAGAGUGUUGUUUACUGUAUAUCCCCUCCCCUGUCUGAUAUCUUUACUUUCUCUAUGCCACAAAAUCUAAAGGUAGAAAUGUCCUGUUUUUGGUCAUUAAAAUGUAAUGAG